UACAGAGGAGCCAAGCGUUGUCCGGAUUGACUGGGCGUAAAGCGCACGCAGGCGGCACCGCGCGUGGGGUGUGAAAUCUGGCCGCUUAACGGCCAGGCGCCAUCCCAUACGGCGGAGCUGGAGUGAUGCAGAGGUCGGUGGAAUUGCCGGUGUAGUGGUGAAAUGCGUAGAGAUCGGCAGGAACACCCAGGGGGAAACCAGUGGACUGGGCAUGUGCUGACGCUCAGGUGCGAAAGCGUGGGGAGCGAACCGG
This 253-nucleotide ribosomal RNA is filed under the name uncultured bacterium. RNAcentral describes it as "partial 16S ribosomal RNA". It matches the Rfam family "Bacterial small subunit ribosomal RNA", at positions 524 to 776 of the family's 1533-position model. The record is from RNAcentral.